This 511-nucleotide ribosomal RNA is filed under the name uncultured Bacteroidota bacterium. RNAcentral describes it as "bacterial SSU rRNA". It matches the Rfam family "Bacterial small subunit ribosomal RNA", at positions 298 to 806 of the family's 1533-position model. The record is from RNAcentral. Lineage: Bacteria; Pseudomonadati; Bacteroidota.
GGGAGAUCCCCCACACUGGUACUGAGACACGGACCAGACUCCUACGGGAGGCAGCAGUGAGGAAUAUUGGGCAAUGGAGGCAACUCUGACCCAGCCAUGCCGCGUGCAGGAAGACGGCCCUAUGGGUUGUAAACUGCUUUUAUACAGGAAGAAACUUAUCCACGUGUGGAUAACUGACGGUACUGUAAGAAUAAGGACCGGCUAACUCCGUGCCAGCAGCCGCGGUAAUACGGAGGGUCCAAGCGUUAUCCGGAAUCAUUGGGUUUAAAGGGUCCGUAGGCGGGCAAUUAAGUCAGAGGUGAAAUCCCACAGCUCAACUGUGGAACUGCCUUUGAUACUGGUUGUCUUGAGUUAUAGUGAAGUAGAUAGAAUAUGUAGUGUAGCGGUGAAAUGCAUAGAUAUUACAUAGAAUACCGAUUGCGAAGGCAGUCUACUAACUGUACACUGACGCUAAUGGACGAAAGCGUGGGGAGCGAACAGGAAGAGAUACCCUGGUAGUCCACGCCGUAAA